GAUGAACGCUGGCGGCGUGCUUAACACAUGCAAGUCGAACGGAAAGGCCCAAGCUUGCUUGGGUACUCGAGUGGCGAACGGGUGAGUAACACGUGGGUAAUCUGCCCUGCACUUCGGGAUAAGCCUGGGAAACUGGGUCUAAUACCGGAUAGGACGAUGGUUUGGAUGCCAUUGUGGAAAGUUUUUUCGGUGUGGGAUGAGCUCGCGGCCUAUCAGCUUGUUGGUGUGGUAAUGGCCUACCAAGGCGUCGACGGGUAGCCGGCCUGAGAGAGUGUACGGCCACAUUGGGACAGAGAGACGGCCCAGACUCCGACGGGAGGCAGCAAGGGGGAAUAUUGCACAAUGGGCGCAAGCGUGAGGCAGCGAGGCCGCGUGGGGGAUGACGGCCUUCGGGUUGUAAACUCCGUUCGCGAGGGACGAAGCGUUUUUGUGACGGUACCUGGAGAAGAAGCACCGGCUAACUACGUG
This 468-nucleotide ribosomal RNA is filed under the name uncultured bacterium. Its description in RNAcentral is "partial 16S ribosomal RNA". It matches the Rfam family "Bacterial small subunit ribosomal RNA", at positions 28 to 507 of the family's 1533-position model. The record is from RNAcentral.